RNAcentral lists this ribosomal RNA (255 nucleotides) under Winogradskyella endarachnes. RNAcentral describes it as "Bacterial small subunit ribosomal RNA". It matches the Rfam family "Bacterial small subunit ribosomal RNA", at positions 32 to 280 of the family's 1533-position model. The record is from Rfam by way of RNAcentral. Lineage: Bacteria; Pseudomonadati; Bacteroidota; Flavobacteriia; Flavobacteriales; Flavobacteriaceae.
AACGCUAGCGGCAGGCCUAACACAUGCAAGUCGAACGGUAACAGGAAAGAGCUUGCUUUUUUGCUGACGAGUGGCGCACGGGUGCGUAACGCGUAUAUAAUCUACCUUUUACAGGGGGAUAGCCUUUAGAAAUGAAGAAUAAUACCCCAUAGUAAGUUUACUUGGCAUCGAGCAGACUUUAAAGUUUCGGCGGUAAAAGAUGAAUAUGCGUUCUAUUAGCUAGAUGGUGUGGUAACGGCAUACCAUGGCGACGAU